GGUGGGAUUCCCGAGCGGCCAAAGGGGGCAGACUGUAAAUCUGCUGCGUAAGCUUCGAUGGUUCGAAUCCAUCUCCCACCACCA
RNAcentral lists this transfer RNA (84 nucleotides) under Victivallales bacterium. Its description in RNAcentral is "tRNA-Tyr". It matches the Rfam family "tRNA". Rfam says of the family: Transfer RNA (tRNA) molecules are approximately 80 nucleotides in length. Their secondary structure includes four short double-helical elements and three loops (D, anti-codon, and T loops). The record is from RNAcentral. Lineage: Bacteria; Pseudomonadati; Lentisphaerota; Lentisphaeria; Victivallales.